UCGAGCGAGUCUGCCUUGAAGAUCGGAGUGCUUGCACUCUGUGAAACAAGAUACAGGCUAGCGGCGGACGGGUGAGUAACACGUGGGUAACCUGCCCAAGAGAUCGGGAUAACACCUGGAAACAGAUGCUAAUACCGGAUAACAACAGAUGAUGCCUAUCAACUGUUUAAAAGAUGGUUCUGCUAUCACUCUUGGAUGGACCUGCGGUGCAUUAGCUAGUUGGUAGGGUAACGGCCUACCAAGGCGAUGAUGCAUAGCCGAGUUGAGAGACUGAUCGGCCACAUUGGGACUGAGACACGGCCCAAACUCCUACGGGAGGCAGCAGUAGGGAAUCUUCCACAAUGGACGCAAGUCUGAUGGAGCAACGCCGCGUGAGUGAAGAAGGGUUUCGGCUCGUAAAGCUCUGUUGUUGGUGAAGAAGGACAGGGGUAGUAACUGACCUUUGUUUGACGGUAAUCAAUUAGAAAGUCACGGCUAACUACGUGCCAGCAGCCGCGGUAAUACGUAGGUGGCAAGCGUUGUCCGGAUUUAUUGGGCGUAAAGCGAGUGCAGGCGGCUCGAUAAGUCUGAUGUGAAAGCCUUCGGCUCAACCGGAGAAUUGCAUCAGAAACUGUCGAGCUUGAGUACAGAAGAGGAGAGUGGAACUCCAUGUGUAGCGGUGAAAUGCGUAGAUAUAUGGAAGAACACCGGUGG
RNAcentral lists this ribosomal RNA (693 nucleotides) under uncultured bacterium. Its description in RNAcentral is "bacterial SSU rRNA". It matches the Rfam family "Bacterial small subunit ribosomal RNA", at positions 62 to 715 of the family's 1533-position model. The record is from RNAcentral.